GCACUACCGUGGCGGACACUGUUCGUGGUGAUUUUUUGAGUUAUGGUUUAUAGCCGGUCAAACGCACGUCAUCACGCCGUGACGCUGGGUUGAUUUAAAAUAAAUCAAAGGUACCUUUUUACCGGAACGUUGUUGUUCCCCGUCAAUUAGCACACUUGCACACGGCAGGCCUGCUUCGACCGGCUUUCGUUUUGGCCAAAGCGGGUGCAGCGCGGGCUUCAAAAUGUCCAGAGGUGCAAAGAACGCACGCUAAAUGAACACCUACAAUGCACUGCUUUGUCUGCUCGGUUGUUUGGUCGAAAAUUUCACGUUCACUAUCACUGGCGAUUCGGAGGCUUAGCUACCAUACGUCCGCUUCACACGAAAGCUGU
Molecule: long non-coding RNA, 371 nt
Organism: Anopheles coustani
Lineage: Eukaryota; Metazoa; Arthropoda; Insecta; Diptera; Culicidae
Exons: 3
Source: RefSeq, a predicted model, not a curated record